RNAcentral lists this ribosomal RNA (496 nucleotides) under uncultured bacterium. Its description in RNAcentral is "partial 16S ribosomal RNA". It matches the Rfam family "Bacterial small subunit ribosomal RNA", at positions 28 to 506 of the family's 1533-position model. The record is from RNAcentral.
GAUGGACGCUGGCGGCGUGCCUAAUACAUGCAAGUAGAACGCUGAAGGAAGGAGCUUGCUCUUUCCGGAUGAGUUGCGAACGGGUGAGUAACGCGUAGGUAACCUGCCUGGUAGCGGGGGAUAACUAUUGGAAACGAUAGCUAAUACCGCAUAACAGUAGAUGUUGCAUGAUAUCUACUUAAGAGGUGCAAUUGCACCACUACCAGAUGGACCUGCGUUGUAUUAGCUAGUUGGUGAGGUAACGGCUCACCAAGGCGACGAUACAUAGCCGACCUGAGAGGGUGAUCGGCCACACUGGGACUGAGACACGGCCCAGACUCCUACGGGAGGCAGCAGUAGGGAAUCUUCGGCAAUGGACGGAAGUCUGACCGAGCAACGCCGCGUGAGUGAAGAAGGUUUUCGGAUCGUAAAGCUCUGUUGUAAGAGAAGAACGAGUGUGAGAGUGGAAAGUUCACACUGUGACGGUAUCUUACCAGAAAGGGACGGCUAACUACGU